UCCGUAGGUGAACCUGCGGAGGGAUCAUUACACAAAUAUGAAGGCGGGCUGGAACCUCUCGGGGUUACAGCCUUGCUGAAUUAUUCACCCUUGUCUUUUGCGUACUUCUUGUUUCCUUGGUGGGUUCGCCCACCACUAGGACAAACAUAAACCUUUUGUAAUUGCAAUCAGCGUCAGUAACAAAUUAAUAAUUACAACUUUCAACAACGGAUCUCUUGGUUCUGGCAUCGAUGAAGAACGCAGCGAAAUGCGAUAAGUAGUGUGAAUUGCAGAAUUCAGUGAAUCAUCGAAUCUUUGAACGCACAUUGCGCCCUUUGGUAUUCCAAAGGGCAUGCCUGUUCGAGCGUCAUUUGUACCCUCAAGCUUUGCUUGGUGUUGGGCGUCUUGUCUCUAGCUUUGCUGGAGACUCGCCUUAAAGUAAUUGGCAGCCGGCCUACUGGUUUCGGAGCGCAGCACAAGUCGCACUCUCUAUCAGCAAAGGUCUAGCAUCCAUUAAGCCUUUUUUUCAACUUUUGACCUCGGAUCAGGUAGGGAUMCCCSCUGAACUUAAGCAUAUCAAUAAGCGGAGGAA
RNAcentral lists this ribosomal RNA (571 nucleotides) under Alternaria bokurai. RNAcentral describes it as "eukaryotic LSU rRNA". The stretch from base 196 to 349 matches the Rfam family "5.8S ribosomal RNA". The record is from RNAcentral. Lineage: Eukaryota; Fungi; Ascomycota; Dothideomycetes; Pleosporales; Pleosporaceae.